GUUUAGGCCCGCUGUCCGUGCUGGAGACUGAGGUCUGCUGUCUGAGAAGCCAGAACCGGAACUGCAAGCAGGUGACACACCAACGGACUGAAGAGGAUUUGCAACAGAUCUGAUCAUCGUUCUGGAUCGUUGUUCCAUUGAAGAAAGCACUACCAGCAUAGCCAACAUGAGGAUUUGGAGCCUUGAUGUGCCAUUAAGAAAUUUAAAACUGUGAAGAAGCAUCUGGAU
Hippocampus comes (tiger tail seahorse) is the source of this 228-nucleotide long non-coding RNA. RefSeq lists it as uncharacterized. The transcript has 3 exons. NCBI's taxonomy places the organism in Eukaryota, Metazoa, Chordata, Actinopteri, Syngnathiformes, Syngnathidae. The record is from RefSeq and is a predicted model, not a curated record.